AUGAAGACACUUCAGGAAGAAACUGAGAAAUCCCAGUGGAGAGCAGCAACGUUUUCACGUGUUCAUCAGCAGACAUGCUGCAGAAGGAAUGGCGCCUGGCGCUUCAUGUCAGAGAUGCCGACAGAGACAAAGAUCAAGGCAGAGAUGGAUUUAGUCGAAAGGCCUCUGAGACUUGAGACAUCCCUCAUACAGGAAUGCCGUCAAGUAAAACGACCGGAUAGUAAUGUCUCCAGGCCUCUCCUGGACCCGACACCUCUUCCCAACAAACUCACCACAGCUGCUCUGUGAAAGACGGCGUCACUAAAGCCCAAUGUCCUCCCGAUCUGGUGAUGUGGGGCAUAAACUGAGUAGAAACUACAGAGGAGAUUCCAAAACAUUCAGAGGUUCUCAACUUAAACACAUGACAGAAAUACAGGGGGGGGGGGGCAAAAAUGUACUCAAGUAAGAGUAGUUACUUUAGCUCAUCAUUAGUGUACAGAAGCCUGAAAAUGGCAGUCAUCAGAGGCAGUUGUGUUUGAGAAGGGUAGGGUUGAAAAGGAUUCAGGACAGUGUUACCUGAAGACCGGGUUUGGGAAACAUGGCAGCUACACUUUUGAUGGAUCUGACAGAAGCUGCCGAAACCCCUCCCACCUGUGAGAAAUGUGUCAGAUUCCCAUACGAGAGAGCAGGUGAGCAACCGCAACAAACUAUUUGAGCGCAAGUUUGUGCAGAUUAAAUAAAACCAGAAACAAAUUAUGGAAAGAAACAAAACAGCAAUCGUUUAUGAAAAGAUGCACAAAUCAAGAAGGGUAGCAUUUGCAGAAACAUUUAGGCUUUGUACCACUGGAGAUGUUUCUCUUGCAGCUUCUUUUCACGGCAAAGAACUACCUAAAAGAUCUGACUCCAAACGACAGCAGUUGAAGUAGCCAACAGUCAUUAUGUGGAGAAAAACUAAAGCUUCACUUUAUGAGCGACAGUGGAGUGCCAAAUUGAAGUCAGAUAAAUAAUCUAUGACCACCAAACCAAUUCACAAAUUAAAAUAUUGCACUUAAAGAACACCCUAAACAAAUCAACAUCUGCCCUUUAGCCCACUCAUGUUUCUGUCUCAACACUGAAGCUGAUGCUUCAUCCUCAAAUUUAACAAGAAAUCUAUGUGUAGAGAUGAGAGGCUUUCCCCUGAAGGGAAUAAUUCAUAACAAGCAGAGAAAAAAAGGAGAAAUAAUUAUCCAUGAAAUGCCAGGUGUUGUUGCAGUUCUCCCUUUGUCCUCUAGGUGGUGCUGUGAGGUAAAAGUCUAUUUUUAGCCUGUCCUCAGCUGGAGGGUGAGAUAUUUAUAGCAAGAGAUGCAUUCACUGCUGUGCUAAGCUCCAGCACGCACAAACACGCACACGCAAGCACGGAGUCACCCACUCUGAAAGCAGUCCAGCCCGAUUUGGCACACUCAAACAUGCAGUCGUUUAAGAGACGUCGGGGUCCUGGAGGAGCUCUCAGACUGCUGCUGAUGUUCACAUUACUGCAUCGACCUGAACACAGGCGGCGCGAUGAGAAUGUUAACGGAUAAGACGGAGAAGGCGUCUUCAUGCAUGCUCGUGUCUGCAGUGCUCACACAGAAGCAGAGGCUGUUCCCUCCCUAAGUGCCCCCUCUAAAAGCCUCUGUUCACCCUGGAGUGGCCCGCUCAAGCAAAUGUUCUCGGCAGGCGGAACAUUCAGCCCCUCAGAUUCCUCUGGAAGCUGAAGCACAAGAGACGGGAACAAUCUGCAGACCCAAUCGCUCCCAGACGGAUGAAGCUGCUGGGAUGAGAGGGGCGUUUCAAGACCAGAAGCCAUCAGUCACCUUCUAAACACCACCUGGAUGAAUGGUAUCCUUCACAGAUCGUCUGGAGACACGCAACACCUUUCAAACCUGCUUUUCUCAUAUAUCUACACAAAAACCCCACACUUCAACAUAUGGAUGUGACCCACUUUAAAUGGCCUUUAGAAAUCUUAUCAAUCCCCAGAAUGGGGUGUUUCCAUGUGACGUCAAAUCAAUACAUUUACAAACACUUUUAUCAGUCAUUUCUACAUAAAUAAAAUCGUGUGGAGACACUAAUGUUUACACGUGUAUCCUUCCAACAUGGAGAUCCAGACGCUAGACUGGUGUGACGUCACUUCCAGUUCAUUAUAUAAUUGCCUUCAAAAUUUGUGCGUUAACAAACUAACAAAUCAGGCGAUCCAGUCUGUUAAUUGAAAGGCUGAGCUGACAGAAUGAAGCUGGUCCGGGUUGGUUACUUGGUACUCACCAGCUGAACACCUGAGUUCGGAGUGAUCCUCGACAGCCGUUUUCCCGUAUGCGCAUGCGCCUCGGAACCCCAUUCGCUUUUCCGAUAACACAAAUUAGCUUCCCAGGUUAGCAGCAGGUUGCAGAAAUCCUCCACUGAAAUCAGAACCGAGCCUGGUUCCUGUUCGACGGCUCGAACCGUUCCCCGGUUACCCGCCUCAAACACACCCCCUCGGGCAGGGGGGAGAGCCGUUAGCUCGGAGCUAGCAUCCUCGCUAGCUGCUAUUUCGAGCAGCUUUAAUUCCUAAAAUUAGAGAUUCUGGUCACUUCCACAAUAAACGCCGAUAUAAAUAUGAAACACAUUUAUUUAUUUUGGAUUAAAUUUACAAAUAAAAUUCUUACCAUCCUAUUUUUGUUGCGUUUUCCGUUUGUUCUUUAGCUGAUGAUUGUGUCGAUUUAGCUUCCAGGGAAUAUCCCGCCCUUUGAGUCUGUCAGUGAAUUAUCAACCAAUAGGAUUAGAAAGAGUCAGUAACUGACCGGCGCAACAACCAAUUAACAUUGAGUUUAAUUGAACACGUUACUCCAGUUUGACAAAAGGCUAAAGUUCUAACUUUACACAUAAAUAAACUGAACACAUAAAUGUGAUUUUUUUCUCAGGAUUUUUAUAGCUAAACACAUAAAAUUCUCCACAUUUAC
Oryzias sinensis (Chinese medaka) is the source of this 2930-nucleotide long non-coding RNA. NCBI's taxonomy places the organism in Eukaryota, Metazoa, Chordata, Actinopteri, Beloniformes, Adrianichthyidae. The record is from Ensembl.